GAUGAACGCUGGCGGCGUGCUUAACUCAUGCACGUCGAACCGGAAUUCUUUUAUUGAAACUUCGGUCGAUAUAAUUUACUUCUCGUGUCGGACGGGUGCGUAACGCGUGGGUAACCUGCCUUAUACAGCGGGAUAACAGUCAGUAAUGGCUGCUAAUACCGCAUAACCGCACAGAGCUGCAUGGCCCCGUGCGAAAAACUCCGGUGCUAUAAGCUGGACCCGCGUUGGAUUAGCUGGUUGGUGGGGUAACGGCCCACCUAGGCGACGAUCCAUAGCCGGCCUGGAAGGGUGAACGGCCACAUUGGGACUGCGGCACGGCCCAGACCCCUACGGGAGGCAGCAGUGGGGAAUAUUGGACAAGGGGAGAAACCCUGAUGCAGCGACGCCGCGUGAAGGAAGAAGUAUCUCGGUAUGUAAACUUCUAUCAGCAGGGAAGAUAGUGACGGUACCUGACUAAGAAGCCCCGGCUAACUACGUG
This 478-nucleotide ribosomal RNA is filed under the name uncultured bacterium. Its description in RNAcentral is "partial 16S ribosomal RNA". It matches the Rfam family "Bacterial small subunit ribosomal RNA", at positions 28 to 507 of the family's 1533-position model. The record is from RNAcentral.